Non-coding RNA from Cricetulus griseus (Chinese hamster), 1085 nucleotides. The record is from RefSeq and is a predicted model, not a curated record. Lineage: Eukaryota; Metazoa; Chordata; Mammalia; Rodentia; Cricetidae.
GGGGCCCACAUCCAACCAUCCAAAGGGCCUCUGGUGACCUGUGUGGCCCACCCUGAGCACUUCACACUCAAGGCAGACCUGUUUUCAUGGGAAAUACGCAUUUUAAUUGGUGAGCUUUGUUUUGGGGCUGACAGUCCAGGGAUAAGAUUGAGCCGAGGGCCUGGCUUCUGGCUGCCUCUUAGACACUCCAUUUCUGAGCCAGCUGCUAAAGGCCCGGAUGGGAAUCGCCAGGGCCCAGGCCCAGGCCCACAUUUCUGCUUGGUGUGUGGUCCUGGUCACUGUGCUUUGCAGAUGGGCUGUGUGGUGGCUGUGGUCUUAGUCAGUGAGCUGAAGGCCUGGCACUGGUCAGGACAGGGCUGGGCUGUCUUUUUCUUUAGCAUGUGGGCUCUGCGUCCGGGAUCCUUGCUGUGGAAGGUUUGAGUCCAGAAAGAAGCCUUAGAGCUCAGAGCAAAGGCAGGGUGGUAGGGCUUGGGAUGUGUGAGCUCUAAAAGAUGCCCCUCUGUCUCCCUAGUUUACAGACGAGGAGAACGAGGCCCAGACAGGGGAAGCAAGUUGGCCCAGGUCACCCAGCAAGUCAGUGGUAGAGGGUAUCUCCUCCCAACCAGGCAACUCCCCCAGUGGCACUGUGGUGUGAAGCUCGGAUGUCCCAUGUCCCAGCCUCCUAGCCAUAACCCCCCCUGCAGACCUCAAGGACCACUGUAGUAACAAGACUAAUCGUGAUGAAGGGCUCUGCAAGCCCCCACCCUGCACAGACUGGCCCAGCCAUGGGGAUGGACAGGCCUGUGUGGCCUCAGCCCUGGCCCCACCCACUGCCAAGUACAAUGACCUGUCCUCUGAAAUACCAGUGUUAACCCACAUCCCUGUCCCAGCAUGUGACUGGUCACUCCUGGGAGACUCCGCCCACAGCAGCCCAGCUCCACUGUGCCCCUGGGUGAGAGGGCUGCAGGGGGUGUCCCCUCCAAGCCCACACCCCACCCCUUGCUAUGAUUUGUGCUUUUGAAGAGUGUUAAAUUAUGGAGGCCCACGGGGCCCUCCUUGUUCCCCCUGGACCUCUUAUUUAUACUAAAGUCCUUGUUUGCACAGCG